GCUUUUUUCGCCCAGGCGGAAAUAGACCGCCCACCGAAGUGAUGAUCAAAUUUAUUGAUGAGAAUAAGUCAGAAUAUGGGACCCAAGCCAUUUGUAGAGUCUUGCCGAUUGCUCC
Molecule: non-coding RNA, 115 nt
Filed under: Psychrobacter faecalis
Lineage: Bacteria; Pseudomonadati; Pseudomonadota; Gammaproteobacteria; Moraxellales; Moraxellaceae
Description: ALIL pseudoknot
Rfam family: ALIL pseudoknot
Source: RNAcentral